UCGCGAUUGUGACGAUCGUGUUCGUGC
RNAcentral lists this non-coding RNA (27 nucleotides) under Homo sapiens (human). Lineage: Eukaryota; Metazoa; Chordata; Mammalia; Primates; Hominidae. The record is from RNAcentral.